Oryctolagus cuniculus (rabbit) is the source of this 1091-nucleotide non-coding RNA. The record is from RefSeq and is a predicted model, not a curated record. NCBI's taxonomy places the organism in Eukaryota, Metazoa, Chordata, Mammalia, Lagomorpha, Leporidae.
AGCGUUGUUAGCCUGAUAGUCUCGGGACCACCCAAUAUAACGUCCGAGGUAUUUAUCCAAACCUUUAUUCUCAGUUCCCCUCUGAUGUGACACAACCUCUCCACAUCAUCCAACAGGAAGCUUCCAGGCGUCCAUUUCCCAACAUUUUGAUUACUUGAGCAUAUUCUCGUCCGGCCUCUGAAUACCAGCUCUCUCGGUUCACAUUCAUUCUCGCUGUCACCUCUGCGCCAGGUUUCACCUGCGUUAUCUUUCUUCUGUGGCACGGGCCGUCCUAAGUCCUCUCCUGGCUUCUGUGGCGGCCCCGGCGGUUUCUCUGAGGGGCUUGAGGGGCAGCAGGAGCAGCGCGCAGGAUGACGCAAACGCCGGCGACUUCGGACUUGAGCUGGGGGCUCCCGUCAAGUUCUCCCGAGAGCCGCGGGCGCCCACGCUAGAACCUGACACUGGAAGAGUAUGAGAACCUAGACGAGAGCCUAGCUGCAACACAGAAUGAUGAUGACAGCCAAGAAGAUCGUCCACCCCACAGACCACCACGUCCAGGAGGCCACCACAACCACCAUCGCCCACCUCCUCAUGGAAACCACCACCGACCACCACCUCCACAGAAGGGCACUAGACCUCCUCCUCCAGAAGAUGAACAAGGUUAGGCGAAAGAGAUGUUCAGGAGGGGAAUUGCCCAGGAAUCUCUGGAUAGCAAAAAGAACUAUACAGGGGAGCCAGCUCCAAUCAAGAAUCAAAAGUGUUUACCCUAAAAAGAGGCAAAAAGGAUUAUCCAAAAAUAGAGGCCCACAGAAAGUGAAUAAGAAGAUAAUGUCCUUUAAGAUCCAUGACUCUGGAACCAUGAUGUGACAACCCUAUGUUUCAAGUACCAAUAAAAUAAUCAGCAUGCAAUUUCUCAUGGCCCUCGUCUCUGAUUUUGGUUAUCUGUGAAUCUCUCACUUACAGGACAUGAACACAAUGGGACAGCAUUCAGGACCCCUUCCCACUGAUGUUUCCAGCAAAGUUAGUUUCUCCUUUAUGGAAUCAAAUCAACUCUCAAAUGAAAUAAUUCUCUUGUUUCUCCCCUUCCCUGGAUUCUACACCACCACAAAUGA